RNAcentral lists this unclassified non-coding RNA (315 nucleotides) under plant metagenome. Its description in RNAcentral is "partial contains 5.8S ribosomal RNA, internal transcribed spacer 2, and large subunit ribosomal RNA". The stretch from base 1 to 105 matches the Rfam family "5.8S ribosomal RNA", at positions 50 to 154 of the family's 154-position model. The record is from RNAcentral.
GAACUGCGAUAAGUAAUGUGAAUUGCAGAAUUCAGUGAAUCAUCGAGUCUUUGAACGCACAUUGCGCCCCCUGGCAUUCCGGGGGGCAUGCCUGUCCGAGCGUCAUUGCUGCCCUUCAAGCCCGGCUUGUGUGUUGGGUCGUCGUCCCCUCCGGGGGACGGGCCCGAAAGGCAGCGGCGGCACCGCGUCCGGUCCUCGAGCGUAUGGGGCUUUGUCACCCGCUCGAUAAGGACCGGCCGGGCGCCAGCCGGCGUCUCCAACCUUUUUUUCUCAGGUUGACCUCGGAUCAGGUAUGGAUACCCGCUGAACUUAAGC